GCCCCGUGAUGAGACCAAGGCGAAUACGAGCUCAUUGAAUGAGAGCUGGGUUCUUCUUGUCUUGACUGGCAGGUAAUCUUGGCAGUGCAGGGGAGGUUUCCUGUUCUGCUGUAAGGGCCUGCCCACAGCGAUUUGGCUCAACCUCAAUUACUCUUCUACAGUCAGAGUGGAGUAAUUGCUGGGAUGAUGUCGACAGUGUGCCUGGUUUAUGUGUUUGUUUGUUCUGUGUGUGUUUGUGUGUAUGGGUGCAGAAGAUAAGGAGUUCAACCAGCUUCUCUUGCUGUUCACUGAGCAAUGAGUUUUGUCUUUGGUAAUCUGAGGGCA
Small nucleolar RNA from Salarias fasciatus (jewelled blenny), 324 nucleotides. The record is from Ensembl. NCBI's taxonomy places the organism in Eukaryota, Metazoa, Chordata, Actinopteri, Blenniiformes, Blenniidae.